Molecule: ribosomal RNA, 465 nt
Filed under: Vreelandella stevensii
Lineage: Bacteria; Pseudomonadati; Pseudomonadota; Gammaproteobacteria; Oceanospirillales; Halomonadaceae
Description: partial 16S ribosomal RNA
Rfam family: Bacterial small subunit ribosomal RNA
Source: RNAcentral
CCUACGGGUCGCAGCAGUGGGGAAUAUUGGACAAUGGGCGAAAGCCUGAUCCAGCCAUGCCGCGUGUGUGAAGAAGGCCUUCGGGUUGUAAAGCACUUUCUGUGGGGAAGAAAGCCUUGGGGCUAAUACCCUCGAGGAAGGACAUCACCCACAGAAGAAGCACCGGCUAACUCCGUGCCAGCAGCCGCGGUAAUACGGAGGGUGCGAGCGUUAAUCGGAAUUACUGGGCGUAAAGCGCGCGUAGGCGGUCUGAUAAGCCGGUUGUGAAAGCCCCGGGCUCAACCUGGGAACGGCAUCCGGAACUGUCAGGCUAGAGUGCAGGAGAGGAAGGUAGAAUUCCCGGUGUAGCGGUGAAAUGCGUAGAGAUCGGGAGGAAUACCAGUGGCGAAGGCGGCCUUCUGGACUGACACUGACGCUGAGGUGCGAAAGCGUGGGUAGCAAACAGGAUUAGAUACCCCAGUAGUC